Small nuclear RNA from Pan paniscus (pygmy chimpanzee), 164 nucleotides. Its record names the gene U1. It matches the Rfam family "U1 spliceosomal RNA". Rfam says of the family: U1 is a small nuclear RNA (snRNA) component of the spliceosome (involved in pre-mRNA splicing). Its 5' end forms complementary base pairs with the 5' splice junction, thus defining the 5' donor site of an intron. There are significant differences in sequence and secondary structure between metazoan and yeast U1 snRNAs, the latter being much longer (568 nucleotides as compared to 164 nucleotides in human). NCBI's taxonomy places the organism in Eukaryota, Metazoa, Chordata, Mammalia, Primates, Hominidae. The record is from Ensembl.
CUACUUACCCGGCAGGGGAGUGACCAUGAUCACAAAGGUGGUUUUCUCAGGGCGAGUCUUCUCCAUUGGACUCUGGAUGUGCUGAUCCCUGCAAUUUCCCCAAAGGUGGGAAACUCGACUGCAUAAUUUGUGGUAAUGGGGAACUGCAUUUGCGCUCUCCCCUG